GAUGAAGAACGUAGCGAAAUGCGAUAAGUAAUGUGAAUUGCAGAAUUCAGUGAAUCAUCGAAUCUUUGAACGCACCUUGCGCCCUAUGGCUAUUCCGAGGGCAUGCCUGUUUGAGUAUCAUGAACACCUCAACUCUUCACGGCUUGCCGUGAUGAGUUUGGACUUUGGGGGUCUUGCUGGCCUACGAGCCAGCUCCUCUCAAAUGUAUUAGCUUGCCGGUGUUUGGUGGCAUCACAGGUGUGAUAACUAUCUACGCUUGUGGUUUUCCACUAGGUAACCUUCAGCAAUGGAGGUUCACCGGAGCUCACAAAUGUCUCUCCUUGCCAAGGACAGAUUUUGACCAUUUGAUCUCAAAUCAGGUAGGACUACCCGCUGAACUUAAGCAUAUCAAUAAGCGGAGGA
RNAcentral lists this unclassified non-coding RNA (402 nucleotides) under soil metagenome. Its description in RNAcentral is "partial contains 5.8S ribosomal RNA, internal transcribed spacer 2, and large subunit ribosomal RNA". The stretch from base 1 to 120 matches the Rfam family "5.8S ribosomal RNA", at positions 35 to 154 of the family's 154-position model. The record is from RNAcentral.